Pantherophis guttatus is the source of this 644-nucleotide non-coding RNA. The record is from RefSeq and is a predicted model, not a curated record. NCBI's taxonomy places the organism in Eukaryota, Metazoa, Chordata, Lepidosauria, Squamata, Colubridae.
AGAGGGCCAGCGAGCCCCGCCCAGGGGCGGGGCAAAUGUUAAAGUGUUCAACGCAUAGCCAAAACGUACGGCUGAAGCGUCCGCGCCUUUACUUAGAUCCCAGGAGCAGAGAAAGAAAGAGGGAGGUAAAUCAAUCAUUUGCUGACCUACCUACAGCAACCAAUGGAAUGCCACUGGAAAAAGUGACUUACAAUUGGUCCUAACACAACGAUCACAGCAUCCCCUUGGUCACAGGAUAAAAAUUUCUUACAACUUCUUAACUGAAAACCUAGAAGUAUAUCAGACUGCAAUAUGGAGCAGAAAAUUGAAUUAGGUGCUACGAACUUCUGGGAAUGAAGACAUUCAGAUUGCAAUCCUAGAAAGAUUUAUUCAGAGAAAGAGAGGCACUCGCCUGAUAUUAAGGCCAUGAAAGGUCAUAUCAGAUGGAGUCACCUGAGCAGGAUAAAAGAAACAAAAAACUGCUAUUCCUGACAAUAAAUGAAGAGAAGAAAUUGCUAUGGGCUCAGAUUCAGGUCUGGACUGUGUUGUCUUAACUCGUCCUUGGAACGUGCUCUCUCCUUUCUGGGAACCUUCCACUUCACUGUAGUCCAUCAUGCCACCUCACCCUUCGUAGACACAAUCCACAAUCCAUCACACUUUUUAUA